AGUCGAGCGGAAGGCCCUUCGGGGUACUCGAGCGGCGAACGGGUGAGUAACACGUGAGUAACCUGCCCCAGGCUUUGGGAUAACCCCGGGAAACCGGGGCUAAUACCGAAUAUUACCGGCUGCCGCAUGGUGGUUGGUGGAAAGAUUUUUCGGCUUGGGAUGGACUCGCGGCCUAUCAGCUUGUUGGUGGGGUAAUGGCCUACCAAGGCGGCGACGGGUAGCCGGCCUGAGAGGGCGACCGGCCACACUGGGACUGAGACACGGCCCAGACUCCUACGGGAGGCAGCAGUGGGGAAUCUUGCACAAUGGGCGGAAGCCUGAUGCAGCGACGCCGCGUGAGGGAUGACGGCCUUCGGGUUGUAAACCUCUUUCAGCAGGGACGAAGCGUUUGUGACGGUACCUGCAGAAGAAGCGCCGGCCAACUACGUGCCAGCAGCCGCGGUAAGACGUAGGGCGCAAGCGUUGUCCGGAUUUAUUGGGCGUAAAGAGCUCGUAGGCGGCUUGUCGCGUCGACUGUGAAAACCCGUGGCUCAACUGCGGGCUUGCAGUCGAUACGGGCAGGCUAGAGUUCGGUAGGGGAGACUGGAAUUCCUGGUG
Molecule: ribosomal RNA, 597 nt
Filed under: Actinomycetales bacterium HP80
Lineage: Bacteria; Bacillati; Actinomycetota; Actinomycetes; Actinomycetales
Description: bacterial SSU rRNA
Rfam family: Bacterial small subunit ribosomal RNA
Source: RNAcentral